ACGCCUCAGCCUGCUGAGCCUUGGGCACACAUGUGACUUCAGAGUAAGCAUUUGGAAGAACUUUUAACAUCUACUGGCAUAUGAUGCUUGCCAGGCUCUUUACAUUUGUGACUCUAAUCCUCUGAACAGUCCUGAAAGGAUCUCACCAUGUUGCCCAGGCUGAUCUAAAACUUGUGUAGCUACAUUCAUCUUGCAGCUGGGACUACAGAUGUGCACUGCCAUGCCUGGAUUACAGUUUUUUUUUUAAAUUAAAAGCCUAACUAUAUAUCUUGGAAUAGCAACUUUACCUUUUUAUUUCUAAAAGAUGGUAAGAUUAUUCCGUAGUAUAAUUUAGUAAACGAUCAUUAAAGAUUUUUGUUAGCACAUAUGAUCCAGAGGAUAAAGGCUGCACUCUGAAACCUUAGGCAUUGCAAUAAGCACAGAUGGGAGAUGUUUCAGAGCAGACAGACAGAUUGAUGCUUAGAACCUCAGACCUGAAUCAAGCUGCAACCUCCAUGUGACGUGUGAACUUGGCCACCUUGGAUGGACAAAAUCUUUACAAGGAGGAGUAGAGGAAACUGCCCCCAAGGAAAGGAACAGCAAAACCUCCUCAGGAAAGACCACUCACCAGGCAUGAAGACUUUGCUAAUGACAAUGAUAAAAACGUCUCUGUAUUCCCUCUGCAAACAAGGACAGAGGUAACAACCAACCAGCCACGUCUGUGACUGAGACUGUUUAACCAUGUGUACAUUUCACCCCUGCCCUCUGUUUUAAACCUCGGUCCUCUAAUGAACAGCUUCCAGAUCUGUUUGUGUUCCUUAGGAGCCUGACUUAGACAUGGCUGGAGCAGGAAGGCAGGCUUUAAUGAUAUAUCAUCAGCUGGGCACUAAGCAGUAGACUAACAAGUGCAUCUUUGCGUUAUCCUUUUAAAAUUAUAUGUUGACGUUACAUGACCAACUAUAUGAACUUUUUCUUUGCCUGGUUUGACUGAUUAAUUUUAAUAAAUCAGCUAAUUACUGAAAGGUACUGUGAUACACUCAAUUUACCGAGCCAAGUGGAAGAGUAACAAAAUUAUUACCUGUCUGUGAUUUACUAUUCUCACCCACAAAGCUAGCUGGCAGAAAGAGCAGCUUUGGGAUUAGGGGAGAAGAAACUGGUGUCAAUAACAGGUAUUGGAAAGAAAGGAAGAGAGGAGAAGGGGCAAAAAAGUCGGCUGUUAGUAGGGCACAAGUGGCUCGGAAAGGGGAAGCAGAGAU
Castor canadensis (American beaver) is the source of this 1235-nucleotide long non-coding RNA. RefSeq lists it as uncharacterized. The record is from RefSeq and is a predicted model, not a curated record. NCBI's taxonomy places the organism in Eukaryota, Metazoa, Chordata, Mammalia, Rodentia, Castoridae.